CCAAAAUGCAAAUUUGGAGACGCACCCCAAUAGGUGCCGGGGCUUCUCCCGU
RNAcentral lists this transfer RNA (52 nucleotides) under Cyrtodactylus triedrus (Spotted bent-toed gecko). RNAcentral describes it as "partial tRNA-Cys". Lineage: Eukaryota; Metazoa; Chordata; Lepidosauria; Squamata; Gekkonidae. The record is from RNAcentral.